CCCCCCAAUACAAUAAGACAAUAAAAUCAUCGUCCUUUCCCCAAUUCUUUUCUCUCACUGCAGCUUCACCUUAAUUGCCUCCUUAACCUAAUUCAUUACUUUCAACUCUCUGCUGCAUGUGUCUUCAGAUUAUGCUCACCCAUAUAUUGCAAAUCUCCAUCCCUUUCUCUAUUGGUAAGUAUUUCUUUGCUCAAAACUUUUAUGUUUUUUUCAAUUUUUGUUUUGUUCUUAUACUUUAAGAUUCAUUUUUUUUAGUUUCUUACUAAUGGGGAUGAAAAAUAAUCUUUUAUUGUGUACAAUAUCUGGGUAUCUUGAUACAAUCUUUGUUUUAGACUCAAAGUUUUGAACGUUUUAUAAUUUCAGAUUCUUGGGCUAAAAAGAAGUAAUUUUAUUUUGUUUAAUUUUUGGGUAUGCUUCGUUAAUUGGGUUUUCGUUUACACUAAUUUGUCUUCUGGGUAACUGUAGAUUUAUUGAUAUGUACUGUUUUGGACCUUUAUUUGUCUGCUUACAUUGUGUUAUUUUUCUUGGGUUAAAUAGAUUAAUUUGGGUUCUGGGUAAGUGUAUUUUGUUGGUUUUCUUGUGAUUAACUAUUUGUGGGUUCUUUAAGAUAGACUUUUUAUUGAUGACAUAUUUUUUUCUUUAGAUUUGUAGACAUUUAAGUACUCUUUUGGACCUUUAUUUUGUCUGUUUCAUUUGUAUUUUUUUGUUAAUUGUUUGUGGGGUUUUAGUUUAGGCUUGGAAUCCCAAUUGAAUUGUUCUCUGAAGCAUUACGUCGAACACUCAAUGCCUUAGAAGAAAACAUACUGCCUCGCUUGUUCUUGUCCCUGCCUCACUGGUAGUAGCUGGAAUUAUUUAUUGCAAAGUAUAGGAUCUUUUAGAGUUGAUGAGUUCAUAUCAACACCCUCCUCAUCUGCUAGGAUUUCAAAUCCAUUUGGACUGGAUGUAGUUUAGCAUAAUAGUGCAACUAAGAAGUAUGGGGGUUGGGGUACAAAUGGGGUGUGGAAGCUAAAUGCAAGAUGAAAAGGAUUACCAGUUACAACAUAUAGCGCACAUAAUGCAUGAAAGUCGAGAUCGAUCCUGCAUUGAAAAAACAGUAUAACCAUAUUUCAGCGUUGGUAUAAAAUUCAGGAACAAUGAAUUUUGAGAAAAAAGACUAACCAGAUGAUGAAUAGGCACUGCAGUCAAAGUUCCAAUCGGCCAUUGUUGGUCUUUAAUUCUCUGCAUUUGUCCGGAAGAAACUACGACUGGUUAUGGACUAUGUUGCUUGACCAAAAGUCCUUCGAAUCAAGGGAAGUGUUAGCGAUACUCUUUUCUGGGGUUGACUGUGAUGGCCCCUCAGGGGUUGCACUUCAGCAAUUAGCCUUUGUUUUUAAAGGUGUUUGAAUAUUUUUGUUUCUUAACUUCUUUACUCUUCGGAAACUUUUUUAAGUUUUUAGAAUAUUGAAAUAAAAUGCUACCUAAACCCCCCAACUGGGAUUUAAAGGACUAACUGUGUGCAUUCCUUUUCAAGCAGUUUGAGAGUUUUUUUUUGUUGACAAAAGUUUAGAGAAAUAUGGUAGUAGAUAAGUGCUCAUUGUUGUUUCUCAAUUGAAGAUGUAUUACUUUAUAAGAGAUGCUUCACAACAUUAAAUUAGUGACAACUGAAUGUAUUAUCACUAUGAUUAAUCAUAAUUCGAAGAGUUUCCUAUUACAAACAAACUUAAGUUUGAUUAGAACUUUCAACUGAUGAUUCUUUUGACUGUGUAGCAAUUUGGCGGAGGGGGUUGAGUUGGAGCAUCACAAUGUAACUCAUGCUAUUGUGUUACUCCUUAAAGUUCUGUAUAUUAUGAUUUUUUCUCUUUUAAUACCUAUUUUUCCCUGUUGUGUCCAAUAAUACAUGAGUUUUAUUUGUAUUUUUAUACAUGGUUUGAGAAUAUUUUUGUGCAGACUAAUUAUUGAGAUUCUGUAUAUUGAAGGCAUAUAUGACUCUUAAACUUAAAGAGUGUGCUUGUGCAAAAACCUUAUGGGUUUAAGCUUAGAUAAGACGACAAAUUGGCUAUUCAAGAUCAAUAUUUACCUUUAAAUUUUUUUCUCAAUUUAUAUUGGGGGAAAAAAUAUCUCAGGUUUUUUCUCUUGUACAUAGAUGCAAGCUUUUUCUAUUUCUUCCUGUAGUUCUUUCCACUUUUUAUGAUAUUGGCUGCCUAUUUUUCAGUUUAAUGAAGAAUCACGUUCGCCUUUUAUAAAGAAGUACAAUACUAUUAUUGAUCAUGCUGAGGUACAUCUUUCUUUGCUCUAUCUUAUUGUAGGAUCCAAACUUGAAUUUUUACAAACUUAGGUUAUAUUGUUAAAAGUUUGUGUAACUUUUAUAUAAUACAAACGGAGGACCACCGAUGUUCAGUUAGUAGAAACUAAAAUAACCUAUAAGUAGAUAACUUCAUGUAACUGACUAUGUUCCAGGAAGUUUAAUAUGGAUAAAAACUUCAUGUAGCUUUGUUUGGCUAAUUUGAAUUAAACAUGGGAAGUUAAAACUGAGGUCCUCUACUCUUCCUUUUCGUUUCAAGUCUGUUAAAGCAUCUAAUAAAUCGAAACAACUGUGAGUGGUUAUUAAGUGUUAAUUCUUCCAAUAUUGAACCUUACUUUGUUGCACAACUUUGUGAUAAUGGAACUUCUUUUGGGCUACUUACUACAAACUGAAUUAUCUAUAAAAAUUAUGAAGUCAUACUUGCAAUUAGAAAAUUGGGUAAUGUACUUAAUAAAAUAUUUUAAUAACAAUACCUAUACAUACAUAUAUACNUAAAGUCCAUCUCUAAUGGCUUUUGCUUUUCUUUUACUUUGUUCUUCCAGUUAUAUAUCCUUUCGUUCUUUAGUCUUUACUUAAAAUAAGUAAAUGUGUUUGGGAAAGUAAAAAAUUUGCUACAUUUGUACCCAACCUAUCUGGGAGGAAGCAAUGAUAAUAGAAGUACUUCAAAAUUCUAAUUUCAAUGUCAAAGUAGAAUCCUAAUACUUAAUGGAAUGAGACUUAAGGAAAAAAAGUGUAUAUCGUCCCAAUGAGAUACCUGAAGUUCAAUUCUAUCAAUUGAUUGAGCAUUGGGAUGACGAAGAUGUCCAAGUAAGAUUAAACUGUGCAUUUCUACAUUUUCUACCUUUUGUUGCAGUAUAUAUUUUUUUCUUUUUGAUUUAUUAAUUAAUAUGCUUCUUUUGUUGUUAGGCUAUGUGCCAAUUAAAUUCUGAAAACAGGAAAAACAAGUGGAGGCAUCGAAUGUGACCUAUUAAUUUUGCAAGAGUGCGUGUGGCAUUGGGCGAAACCAAAGAGAACAAUGAGGAAUCAUCAAAGUCUGAAAUAUUUAUUACAACUCGUACAAAGAAAGAGAAGGAAGUUCAUUCGGAUACUCAAGUUGCAAUAUCUGAAUUUUGGAAUCGUCAAAGUUCCGGAGAAACAACAGAUGAUGCAUUUGGGGCUGUUGGAAAGGAGCAGCCUGGUCUGGUUAGAUGCUAUGAUAGAUCGGUGACGACAAGCUCUCUGAGAAAAAAAUGAAGAAAUCACCAAGCUUAAACAACAGCAUGCCAACGAAAUAACUUCUCUGAAGGAAGAAAUGAAGGAAAUGAUGAGAGAAGAAAUAUUAUGAUUUUUUAGUCAAUUGGUGAAAAACAACCCUGGACUGGAUUUUCAUGAUAUACAAGGGUGUGUUGGAUCUAAUAUUCCUUCACCGGUUGAUGCAAGUAGUGCACGAGCUAUGAGAGACCAUAAUCUACCACAUUCUUCUGGCUCAACACAUGCCUCGAGUCUUGAAAAGGAAAAUACGGGUGAUGUAAUUGGAAAUGGUGGCCACAAAUUAAUUUGAUUCAUAAAAGUGAAUGAUCCAGGUACUUCAGAGUUAGUCGAUCGCUAGCUAGCUAUAUGGAUCUGCUGUUGAGACUCAAGGUAAACCUACUGCUGCAUUCGUAGGCUUCGGAGUCACCUUCUGAUGUUGUAUUUGCAUUGUUCAUCCUUAUUUCGAAACAGUUGUAUUUAGAGUUUUUUCUAGCAAACUCAGUAGAACUUAUGACUUCUACUACCAGUUUUGGAAUUUUUAAGUCUUGUAUAGAGAUUCUACUUCGCAUUUGUCA
Molecule: long non-coding RNA, 4086 nt
Organism: Nicotiana tabacum (common tobacco)
Lineage: Eukaryota; Viridiplantae; Streptophyta; Magnoliopsida; Solanales; Solanaceae
Source: RefSeq, a predicted model, not a curated record